AAACUACUGCCACCGGGUAGAGAAUGUAAUACUGAACAUUCGCGGGCAUAUCGUUAGGUCUUUGAAGAUAUGCCGCGGAUGUUUUUUGUUU
RNAcentral lists this non-coding RNA (91 nucleotides) under unclassified sequences. The record is from RNAcentral.